This 590-nucleotide long non-coding RNA is filed under the name Oryctolagus cuniculus (rabbit). RNAcentral describes it as "lncRNA (ENSOCUG00000035684.1)". Lineage: Eukaryota; Metazoa; Chordata; Mammalia; Lagomorpha; Leporidae. The record is from RNAcentral.
AGCUCAUGUAGUCCUACAAAAAGAUGCUGUCUCUUUAACUGUCCGUGUGCUACGCCCACCUUCCCAGGAUACACCUGUCCCAUCUGGGACCAUUUUGCAUGCUCAAACUCCACCCCAUUUGCAUGUUUAAUGGGGGGGGUACCACCCCCUUCCUUAUAAAAAGACGUGGCGGGCAGGAGAGAGUGCGCACUCCACCGUGGACCCAGCUUGGAGGCACGGCUCUCGGUUUCACUCUUCCCACUGCAGCAGUAGAUGGAGUUCUGUUACGGUUUGGAGGUCCCUUGUACCAGAUGGAAAAUAUGGGUGUAUAUAAAGGAGCAGAAAGCAUUGGAAAUGCUAACUACGUGUGUAAGUAUAAAAGCAUGUGUCCUGGUUACUUAAAUCUUUGCAAGAGGUACUUGGGUAUUUUUGCAAAAACAAUAAUGCAUUAUGGGUUCAAAACAUGUAACAGUAAAAUAUAUUAAAACAAUAGCACAAAAGACAGAAGUGCUGAAACGUAUGCUGUUGUAAGAUUCUUUUAUAAUAUGCAUUGUGACAAAUCAUCACUUGGAGUUACAGUUGAAUAAAAGAGAUAGGCCACAGUUAAAUCA